UACGAGAGCCCCGAGCGUUAUCCGGGUUUAUUGGGCGUAAAGGGUGAGUAGGUUGUUGUGUUAGUCUUUUGUUAAAUCUCCAGGCUCAACUUGGAAACCGCAAAGGAAACGGCACGACUGGAGUAUGUGAGAGGUGUGCGGAACUCUAGGUGUUGGGGUGAAAUCCGUUGAUAUCUAGGGGAACACCAAAAGCGAAGGCAGCACACUGGCACAUUACUGACACUGAAUCACGAAAGCGUGGGUAGCGAAUGGG
RNAcentral lists this ribosomal RNA (253 nucleotides) under uncultured bacterium. RNAcentral describes it as "partial 16S ribosomal RNA". It matches the Rfam family "Bacterial small subunit ribosomal RNA", at positions 524 to 776 of the family's 1533-position model. The record is from RNAcentral.